This 497-nucleotide ribosomal RNA is filed under the name uncultured bacterium. RNAcentral's name for it is "partial 16S ribosomal RNA". It matches the Rfam family "Bacterial small subunit ribosomal RNA", at positions 28 to 507 of the family's 1533-position model. The record is from RNAcentral.
GAUGAACGCUGGCGGCGUGCCUAAUACAUGCAAGUCGAGCGAACAGACGAGGAGCUUGCUCCUCUGACGUUAGCGGCGGACGGGUGAGUAACACGUGGAUAACCUACCUAUAAGACUGGGAUAACUUCGGGAAACCGGAGCUAAUACCGGAUAAUAUAUUGAACCGCAUGGUUCAAUAGUGAAAGACGGUUUUGCUGUCACUUAUAGAUGGAUCCGCGCCGCAUUAGCUAGUUGGUAAGGUAACGGCUUACCAAGGCAACGAUGCGUAGCCGACCUGAGAGAGUGAUAGGCCACACUGGAACGGAGACACGGUCCAGACUCCUACGGGAGGCAGCAGUAGGGAAUCUUCCGCAAUGGGCGAAAGCUUGACGGAGCAACGCCGCGUGAGUGAUGAAGGUCUUCGGAUCGUAAAACUCUGUUAUUAGGGAAGAACAAAUGUGUAAGUAACUAUGCACGUCUUGACGGUACCUAAUCAGAAAGCCACGGCUAACUACGUG